Molecule: ribosomal RNA, 231 nt
Filed under: uncultured bacterium
Lineage: Bacteria
Description: partial 16S ribosomal RNA
Rfam family: Bacterial small subunit ribosomal RNA
Source: RNAcentral
GAUCAUGGCUCAGGAUGAACGCUGGCGGCGUGCUUAACACAUGCAAGUCGAACGAAGCACUUGAGAUUGACUCUUCGGAUGACGUCUUUUGUGACUUAGUGGCGGACGGGUGAGUAACGCGUGGGUAACCUGCCUCACACAGGGGGAUAACAGUUAGAAAUGACUGCUAAUACCGCAUAACCCGAUAGGAUCGCAUGAUCCAGACGGAAAAGAUUUAUCGGUGUGAGAUGG